GAUUAAGCCAUGCAUGUGUAAGUACAAGCCGAUGUAAGGUGAAACCGCGAAUGGCUCAUUAAAUCAGCUAUGUUUUAUUGGAUCUGUACACCCACUUACUUGGAUAACUGUGGUAAUUCUAGAGCUAAUACAUGCACACAGAGUCCCCGACCGCAAGGGAGGGGCGCUUUUAUUAGUUCAAAACCGGUCGGGCCUUGGUCCGUAACCCACCUGUGGUGAAUCUGAAUAACUUCUUGCUGAGCGCACGGUCUCUGCACUGGCGCCGCAUCUUUCAAGUGUCUGCCUUAUCAGCUUUCGAUUGUAGGUUAUUCGCCUACAAUGGCUAUAACGGGUAACGGGGAAUCAGGGUUCGAUUCCGGAGAGGGAGCCUGAGAAACGGCUACCACAUCCAAGGAG
Molecule: ribosomal RNA, 396 nt
Filed under: Anapagurus hyndmanni
Lineage: Eukaryota; Metazoa; Arthropoda; Malacostraca; Decapoda; Paguridae
Description: SSU rRNA
Rfam family: Eukaryotic small subunit ribosomal RNA
Source: RNAcentral